RNAcentral lists this ribosomal RNA (253 nucleotides) under uncultured bacterium. RNAcentral's name for it is "partial 16S ribosomal RNA". It matches the Rfam family "Bacterial small subunit ribosomal RNA", at positions 524 to 776 of the family's 1533-position model. The record is from RNAcentral.
UACGAAGGGGGCUAGCGUUGUUCGGAAUUACUGGGCGUAAAGGGCGCGUAGGCUGUGCUGUAAGUCAGGCGUGAAAUCCCCGGGCUCAACCUGGGAAUUGCGCAUGAUACUGCGGCGCUGGAAGGCGGGAGAGGAUGGCGGAAUUCCCAGUGUAGAGGUGAAAUGCGUAGAUAUUGGGAAGAACACCGGUGGCGAAGGCGGCUCACUGGUCCGCAACUGACGCUGAGGUGCGAAAGCGUGGGGAGCAAACAGG